This is a non-coding RNA of Sus scrofa (pig), 3670 nucleotides long. Lineage: Eukaryota; Metazoa; Chordata; Mammalia; Artiodactyla; Suidae. The record is from RefSeq and is a predicted model, not a curated record.
CCUUAACCCACUGAGGCAGGCCAGGGAUCAAACCUGAGUCCUCAUGGAUAUUAGUCAGGUAUGCUACGGCUGAGCCACAACAGAAACUCCUUCAUAUGCUUUUAUACUGACAAGCCUCCUAAUGCAGCCCUGCUUCCGUGACCAUCAUGCUUUCAAGGACUAAGAAACUCGGAGAAGGUACCUGGCCCGGGAUCACCCAGCAAGAAAGCCACAGAACCAGAAUCCGAACCUUCCAGUCUGUUUUUACCGUUGCACCCCUACCUCUUUCUAGACCAAGCAGCAGGAGACAUUUUUUAUAAAAAUCUGUAUCUGUCUCUCUGAGAACAUUAGAAACCAAAAAGAAAAGACAUCCUUUGAGCUGCUUUAGUAGACAGCUUGUGUAUUUCUGAAUCCCAGCACCCAGUUUCUUGCUCAGGCCUGCCAGGCUUCAGCUCAAGUCUCACUGAACGCCAUACCUGCGUCAGCUCCGUUUGAGCAAAAAAUGAACUCAAGGGAGGAGAUUCCCUGAAUUACACAAUCUGGGAAGCUUUCUGGUUACGAAAGCAAAUGUACACGUGGAAAGGAAGUUAAAGUUCCUUAAAACACUCGAGGCCUUGGCACUCAGGGUCCCCCAGAAGUGGCGGGCACUGCGACCAGACCCAGCCCAGGCGCCGUCCACUCUAAGGCCACCACGCAGGCUCCAGCCACUUGCAGAGCCACCUGAGAGCAUGUGAGGACUUCCCACACGAGCCCCUGCACCCAUCCUGGGACAGAGCCAGGAAGGGAAGGAAAAGCUGCCUUGACCCCCGAAAGGCUUGUUUGCUUACUGUUAAAAUAUUACAUGUUACACAAACUGUUGAGUAUUUCAAUGUUUGCUUUUCAGGUAGCAACUGAGUUGGUCCCGAGUGCAUGCCUACUGCGGGCUGCUCAUUUCUGAGAACGCCCCGGAUGGCAUGCGGGCGGGCUUCCUCUGGACACGGCUGUUCCCAUUUGGGAGCACCGUGCUGAGGAGUCCUCCGCCUCCACCGGCUUAUUUUGCGACGUUUUUGUCAUAGGUGGGACUGCGUCCUCCAGUUUCCAUGCGCCUGCACAAAGCACGUUUUCAUUUCUGCAUAUGCAGGACAGAGCGGUGUUAAUGCUUCUGGAGAGGCUGCUGUGGAGCGGGCCUCAAGGCCGGUGAGCAGAGCGUGCAGGACCCGGGGCAGGACCCACACUGUUAGGGAGUGUGUCCUGUCCGAUCCUGAGCUCUGCGCAUCUCCUCCCAUGAAGCCUAAGUCUGCGCAGUCCCCGGGGAAGGCGUGGGGUGCUCUCACUACAGCCGCAGGCAGAUCCCGCGGUCACCCUCAGAGCAGACGGCCAUAGCUCUGCCCUCUACACCGCAGGCCUGGAACGGAACGGCCUUGUUGGUGGCACUGGCCGGGACUCGGCACUUUCCCUGAGGACCAAGGCCCGCACCUGUGGCAGAUGCAAGUUCUUGGACUAGAGGUAGACUCCGAGUCACAUCUGAGACCUACGCCCAUGGCAGCACAGGAUCCUCAACCCACCGAGCAGGGCCAGGGAUUGAGCCUGUGUUUUUAUGGAUUUGAGUCAGGUUUGUUUCUGCUGAGCCACAAUGGGAAACUUUUCCCAUUGACAAGUGCAGGAGCGUGUCAGGUAGCCUACUGAUUUUAAGCCGAUGCACUCAAAUCUGUCCCUUUGGGCAAGAGAUGACCAUGCGUGAGGGUUACAGGUUUCCAAAUAAUUGGAGCCAAGAAGAAAGUGUCUACAGAGAGCAGGUGUUUGGGGCUGUUUCCACAGCUGCGCAGCUGUACCGCCGAGGAUGUGGCCAGAGCAUCACCCCCAGGAGCACUGACACCUGCGCACCAAAGCCUUGGGAACCCCCAGUCCCACCUCCCCUGACGGCCCCUGAGCAUCAGCCAGCCCAGGCCAUCAAAGGCCCUUGCACGAGUGGCAGGUGGGGUUGAAACACAAGCUGCCUGCCUUCCUGAGGUGCGUCGUGUUUACCUGUGAACGCCUCUAGGACGAGAAACUGAAAUAAGCGGGACUCAGAACCAGAUCGUCAAAUGCAGACUCAGGUUUCACCAAGAGUUUAUAAACGGGAUGUGGACUGGGUCACGUGGCUUUCUUUGAAAAACAGCAUUUGUUUUACAACGGACUGUGUUAUCGAUAUGAUGGAAAUUUAAUCACGGUCACUUCGCCCCUCGUCUGUUUGAAAGUCUGCAUUGGCGUGUUUCUAUGGCCGUGGUGCUCGGGACGCUCGCAGGGAACUCUCAGAGGACUUAGAGGUGGUGCAAGCUCAAUCUCUUUUACAGAUAGCAGUGCACAGGAACAAAGCUCGUAGGCAACUUAUUAACACGAACAGCCCUUACCUAGAUGGGAACGGAUCCACAAGCCUCAGCCACUGUUUAAGAUCCCCAUGAGGCCAGGUUCAAGACCAUGGUCAUUUGCAUUGGGAGGCCCAGGUGGAGACCUCGUUUGCAGGUCUCAUGCCCAGUGCCACCACCUGUGCUGUCCUGGGUGAGCACAGCAGGCUUCUUGGGAUCAUGGGGCUCUGAGUUUCCACUGAAGCUCCUGGCAGAGAGCGAUGGGAUGUAUUUUGAAGCCAAAGGUGUGGCCCGAAGGAGAUUCUCAGGAGCAAGUUCCACAGAAUCUGUGCCACGGCCCGCUCUCCUAACCCCCUGCUGCAGCCUCGGUCCCAUUCCCCGUCCCCCAGCCUUCUGCCUCUCUAGGGCUAGGAAAUGAGGUAAUGAGGCAACUGAGAAUCCCCAGAGAGAGGUAACCAUGGAUCUCCUGUAACGAGCAAGGCGGUAAGCUCAUUACUCAGCUCCUGUAUGCCCGCUGACCAAAUCUCUCCAGAUUGGCAAACAACAGGCACUGCCCAAGCCUCCCGGUGCUGCGUUUUGCUUUCCCCAGGGUGUGGGCCCCUCGGCGGUGUUGUCUGCUUGGAAGUAUCACCCUCCAUCCCUGCCUCGACUUUCUGAGGUCCCACCUACCAGUUCCCAGACCAGUCCCAGCCCCUCUGUGAAGCAGCCACUGACAGCCCAGUCUGGCUCACUGGUUCCUUGUCUUGGCCGCACAAUGGAACCUUCUGGUGUGCUUUAGAACAGAAACGGAUGCCUGAGGUCCGCCCCCUGGAGAUUCUGGGCUGUGGUCUGGGCAUGCAACGCUUUCCCUGUGAUUCUAACAUCAGCCGGGGUGAGACCUUCUACUCCUGUCGAAAACCUUCGCUCCACCUCUGCACACGCACAGCAGCUUUUCCGGACGUCUUGUACAGCACUUGUUUCACUCUGUCCUAUGUCACUUACCCGUGCAUUAAUCACCUUAACGGCUCCAUCCUAAGGUCCUCAACUGUGCACACAGCCUUGUCCGUCAUUCUCCCCCGAGUUCUAGAAUGUUCCCCCUCAAGAGACUCAACAGCAGAGGAGUCUACUGCUAUUUCAGGAAGCAGGGAUGGAGAAGAAACUGCCAGCCAGGGAGUCUUACUUGGGCCUUCCCAGUUGAGACAAAAUCAAAACAGGUUCCCUUGGAACUGCCUGGCAUAUGCUCUGCAGAAAACUAGCGACUUUUAAAAAACAACUUGUGCUCCCCUCUCUUGUUCCAAAAGGCUGUUUUAUCAGAAUAGCAGAUCACCCUAGAGAAGGAAUGAUGUCAUCCUGUUUGUUGGAUAUAGUAAAGCCAAUGCUCAAUUUUA